RNAcentral lists this ribosomal RNA (340 nucleotides) under Columbicola macrourae. Its description in RNAcentral is "partial 12S ribosomal RNA". Lineage: Eukaryota; Metazoa; Arthropoda; Insecta; Psocodea; Philopteridae. The record is from RNAcentral.
AGAGGGAAAGNCGGAAUAAGAGAGUAGGGACUUAGCUGAAAACCAUCUAGGAUGGCGGUUUUUUUUAUUCUUAGAUAGAUGUGUUUUUAAAACGAAAGUGCACGACCAUCUUUCUUGCCUUUGAAUAACCCAUCCUGUACACCGCCGUCUGAAGAGUCGAAUCCAAGAACUAACUCUGUUUCUAUUUUUGAUCAGAAGUAAGUCAGGUAAGGUGCAGACUAUGGGCAAGAGGAAAUGCAUUUCAUUAAAUCUCGAUAAGGUGGUUGAAAACCAUCUUAAAGAAGAAUUUAACAGUAAGGUUUUUUAAUUAUAAAAGUCUGAAUUAAUAACAGAAAAAUGU